CCAGGCUCAGAACAUCAUUACCAUCACCAUUACUACCACCACCACCACCACAACCACCUUAACUUCUUCCUCUUUUUUUCUUCUCCUCCUUCAUCAGCUACCAUUUAUUGAUAAUCUAUGAUGUAUCAGGAAUUUUACAAAUAAUAUUUCAUGAAAUUUUAUUCUCAGCAUAUUCAUUAUAACUUCAGAAAAUAAUUACCAUUAUAUCCAGUUU
This 214-nucleotide long non-coding RNA is filed under the name Homo sapiens (human). RNAcentral describes it as "non-protein coding lnc-C3orf30-15:1". Lineage: Eukaryota; Metazoa; Chordata; Mammalia; Primates; Hominidae. The record is from RNAcentral.